GUCUACGGCUAUGCCACCCUGAAUAAGCCCGAUGUCUGAUCUUGGAAGCUAAGCAGGGAAACACCUGGUUGGUACUUGGAUGAGAGACCACCUAGGAAGAUCAGGUGCUGUAGGCA
This 116-nucleotide ribosomal RNA is filed under the name Pteropus alecto (black flying fox). The record is from RNAcentral. Lineage: Eukaryota; Metazoa; Chordata; Mammalia; Chiroptera; Pteropodidae.